RNAcentral lists this ribosomal RNA (253 nucleotides) under uncultured bacterium. Its description in RNAcentral is "partial 16S ribosomal RNA". It matches the Rfam family "Bacterial small subunit ribosomal RNA", at positions 524 to 776 of the family's 1533-position model. The record is from RNAcentral.
GACGUAGGGCGCGAGCGUUGUCCGGAUUUAUUGGGCGUAAAGAGCUCGUAGGCGGCUCGUUGCGUCAACCGUGAAAACCAGCAGCUCAACUGUUGGCUUGCGAUUGAUACGGGUGGGCUGGAGUUCGGUAGGGGAGACUGGAAUUCCUGGUGUAGCGGUGAAAUGCGCAGAUAUCAGGAGGAACACCGGUGGCGAAGGCGGGUCUCUGGGCCGAUACUGACGCUGAGGAGCGAAAGCGUGGGGAGCGAACAGG